UGGGGGCCUAUACAUGCAGUCGAGCGGACCGACGGGAGCUUGCUCCCUUAGGUCAGCGGCGGACGGGUGAUAACACGUGGGUAACCUGCCUGUAAGACUGGGAUAACUCCGGGAAACCGGGGCUAAUACCGGAUGCUUGUUUGAACGCAUGGUUCAAACAUAAAAGGUGGCUUUUCGCUACCACUUACAGAUGGACCCGCGGCGCAUUAGCUAGUUGGUGGGGUAACGGCUCACCAAGGCACGAUGCGUAGCCGACCUGAGAGGGUGAUCGGCCACACUGGGACUGAGACACGGCCCAGACUCCUACGGGAGGCAGCAGUAGGGAAUCUUCCGCAAUGGACGAAAGUCUGACGGAGCAACGCCGCGUGAGUGAUGAACGCGUUUUCGAAUCGUAAAACUCUGUUGUUAGGGAAGAACAAGUACCGUUCGAACAGGGCSGUACCUUGACGGUACCUAACCAGAAAGCCACGGCUAACUACGUGCCAGCAGCCGCGGUAAUACGUAGGUGGCAAGCGUUGUCCCGGAAAUUAUUGGGCGUAAAGCGCGCGCAGGCGGUUYUUUAAGUCUGAUGUGAAAGCCCCCGGCUCAACCGGGGAGGGUCAUUGGAAACUGGGGAACUUGAGUGCAGAAGAGGAGAGUGGAAUUCCACGUGUAGCGGUGAAAUGCGUAGAGAUGUGGAGGAACACCAGUGGCGAAGGCGACUCUCUGGUCUGUAACUGACGCUGAGGCGCGAAAGCGUGGGGAGCGAACAGGAUUAGAUACCCUGGUAGUCCACGCCGUAAACGAUGAGUGCUAAGUGUUAGAGGGUUUCCGCCCUUUAGUGCUGCAGCAAACGCAUUAAGCACUCCGCCUGGGGAGUACGGUCGCAAGACUGAAACUCAAAAGGAAUUGACGGGGGGCCCGCACAAGCGGUGGAGCAUGUGGUUUAAUUUCGUAAGCAACGCGAAGAACCUUACCAGGUCUUGACAUCCUCUGACAACCCUAGAGAUAGGGCUUCCCCUUCGGGGGCAGAGUGACAGGUGGUGCAUGGUUGUCGUCAGCUCGUGUCGUGAGAUGUUGGGUUAAGUCCCGCAACGAGCGCAACCCUUGAUCUUCGUUCCCAGCAUUCAGUUGGGCACUCUAAGGUGACUGCCGGUGACAAACCGGAGGAAGGUGGGGAUGACGUCAAAUCAUCAUGCCCCUUAUGACCUGGGCUACACACGUGCUACAAUGGGCAGAACAAAGGGCAGCGAAGCCGCGAGGCUAAGCCAAUCCCACAAAUCUGUUCUCAGUUCGGAUCGCAGUCUGCAACUCGACUGCGUGAAGCUGGAAUCGCUAGUAAUCGCGGAUCAGCAUGCCGCGGUGAAUACGUUCCCGGGCCUUGUACACACCGCCCGUCACACCACGAGAGUUUGUAACACCCGAAGUCGGUGAGGUAACCUUUUGGAGCCAGCCCA
Molecule: ribosomal RNA, 1436 nt
Filed under: Bacillus sp. (in: firmicutes)
Lineage: Bacteria; Bacillati; Bacillota; Bacilli; Caryophanales; Bacillaceae
Description: bacterial SSU rRNA
Rfam family: Bacterial small subunit ribosomal RNA
Source: RNAcentral